This is a long non-coding RNA of Amphiprion ocellaris (clown anemonefish), 1051 nucleotides long. The record is from Ensembl. NCBI's taxonomy places the organism in Eukaryota, Metazoa, Chordata, Actinopteri, Pomacentridae.
AUGAGAUUGUAUAUAAAGUCAACAGAAAGACGAGAGUAUCUUGACAAUGUUUUCACUUGAGUGACAGACUUGUGUUUGUUUUAUGAGGAGAGUAAUGACAGCAGCUGUGGCCACCUUCUGACAAGAAUCUUCAGAGGCUCCAUUGAUAUCAUGCAGCACAACUGCUCAAUGAAUGCUCCAAUGCUCAAAUACACGUGAAUAAUUCUAGGCAAAGGUUGUUUUUAUUUUUUGACUGAACACAGUGUAGUGAUUGUUCUGUCACAGCAGUUGGUUUUUUGUUUUUUUUGUUUUUUGUUUUUUUGCCAGAAGCAACUAUUUCCGUAACAACUGCAGUUUAAAACCCCACGUGAAAUAUGCUGUGCUCCAGUGGUUUUGUGGAUGGCAUCUUCCCAUUCUGAAUCAGCUUUGACAAUCUAUACAUCCUUUGACAACACAAAAUGUUACAAUUCAAACUGCAAAAAUGAUUUUAAAGCAUCAAUACCACAACAUUUUUCACUGUGUAAUAAGAGUAAAUACACAGCAGGACUGCAGUUUCUUACUCUGCAAGCUUCCAUGCUUUAAGCUUGUUUUUAAAAUGCCAGCAUUAUAUCAACAAUUUCAAUCUACUAUACUGUACACCCUAAAUGCAAUUUCACAUCAUCAUCUGUGGGCACCCAAAUUCUGACAACAGUUUUGGGUUUAUUUGUGUUUUUUUAAUUUUAAGAUGUAACCUAAAAAAAAAAAAAACAAAAAAAAAAAACAUUUUGGGGCAUCCAUUAUAAAGGUCAUUCCAGAAUUGAAGGCCAUUUUACAUCCCACGCAUCAAAUUUCAAAUACUCCAUGUACAAAAUACUAAAACAUGCAGUUCUUGUGUAAAUUUACUUGUCCUGAGACCAAAACUAAAAAAAAAAAAAAAAAAAAACUGAGAGAAAAGAAUGUUUGAAAAUAUUUUUAAAAUACAAAAUAAGUCUGGAGUUCCCCUUAAAAUGCCAUUUUCUCUUGUCCAACCCCAAUGAUGACCAAAUUCAAUCUAAUACAUUUAAAAUGAAACCUAAACCUCCUUUAAUGAAAU